RNAcentral lists this small nucleolar RNA (107 nucleotides) under Olea europaea subsp. europaea. RNAcentral's name for it is "Plant small nucleolar RNA R71". It matches the Rfam family "Plant small nucleolar RNA R71". Rfam says of the family: R71 is a member of the C/D box family of snoRNAs containing the C (UGAUGA) and D (CUGA) box motifs. Multiple nearly identical copies of this snoRNA have been identified in Arabidopsis, and it is thought to function as a 2'-O-ribose methylation guide for 18S ribosomal RNA. The record is from Rfam by way of RNAcentral. Lineage: Eukaryota; Viridiplantae; Streptophyta; Magnoliopsida; Lamiales; Oleaceae.
AUCUCAUGAUGUGGACACUUCCGCAGCAUAUUUUUAAACCUAUUCCAGGCAUCAUCAAAGUUCUCGGAGUCGCCCUGAUGAAAGACAGAUAUGUCAUGCUUGAGUUU